AGUGUGACUAGAACAGAGGUCAUAAGAGGAUUCAAGACUAGAAACAAGGUUAAUCUGGAAAUGGUAUCGAGAGUAGACUGUAAUGAGACCAGACUGGUGGCAGGAAGACAAUUGCAGCUGCCCGGUGACAGAAGAGCAAAAGCCGAAUUAAGGCACCCUCUAUGGACCAGAGAACAACCUCUAGGAGUUGAGAGCAGUCCCUGGCUGAUACCAAGAAAACAAGACUUCAGUUCUAAAGCUGCAGAGGAAUGAAAUCUGCCAAUAAAAGGAAUGAUCUUGGAAGAGGACUAUGAGCUCCAGUUUUUCUUCCAGCUCUCAUGGAAACAAGCACUGCCACAGCCCCUUGAUGAGCCAGCAGAGUCCAGUCAUCUGGCAACAAUGACAGGUAUCUGGCAUCUGAGAGGAAUAUCAACUGAAGACAAUGAGAGAAUUAAAAAAGAAGUAAACACAAGACAAUCUUUUUUCACCCCCUUAGAUUCUGCAUUUCCACUUGCUUGAUUCAGUAAUUGUUUUGUUUUGAAUGUUGUGUAAAUGAAUGCUACAGCCCUAUGCAAUUUUUAAACCACUUUGCUGUGUGUCUCAUAUGGAGCUCAACAAUGUUACUGCUGGCAUGAGUGCACCAUAAAGCAUAUGACUCCCUGAUGUAACAUUUUAAAUAAGGAUACAUUUCUCAUCCAAUGUGACAUUAUGCAGGAAAAUUUCACUUCGUCACCUGUUUCUCAUGAGAGCUUGAGAAAGCUAUAUAAUUUUUUUUUUUUUUUGAGUCAGAGUCUUGCUCUGUCACCCAGGCUGGAGUGCAAUGGCACAAUCUCGGCUCACUAUAACCUCCACCUCCCGGGUUCAAGUGAUUCUCCUGCCUCAGCCUCCCAAGUAGCUGGAAUUACAGGUGCCCGCCAUGCCCAGCUAAUCUUUGUAUUUUUAGUAGAGAUGGGGUUUCACCAUGUUGGCCAGGCUGGUCUCAAACUCCUGACCUCAUGAUCCGCCCCCCUUGGCCUCCCAAAGUGCUGAGAUUACAGGUGUGAGCCACCACACCCGGCCUUACAUAAUUCCUUUCAACUGUAUAUAUCUCAUCAUUAAAAUAAGAAUAAGAAAACCUGUCUUCUUUUUUCUCCUUAAUAGCUUGUGAGGCCUAUGUACUAAUCAAAAUGAACGAAAAUAAUUCACAAACUCAGUGACAUCAAGGAGCUAGUUUGCUGUUUUACUUAAGGAAGAAUUAUUCUAUGGCUUCAAAAAAUAGAGCCAUCACAUGAAAUAUCUGAGUACAAAAACACACUAUAUUGUACAGACUUUUUCGUGUGUACGGCUGCUAGAAGUUAGAAAUCACCCAAAGUCUUCUUAAUCUGCCACUCUCUGAAUAAGACAGGUACCAAUACUAUUGUGCCUCUAUUAGGAAUGCAAAGGCUUACAGUAAAAUUGGAUGAAACUGCUUACUCAGAGUCACCCAGCAGCUCUGUGGUAGGAAUGGAAAAUAGGCUGAACCCACACUGUUGGAUGGUACUAUGAGUCUAUCAUUUCCUCCUUCUAUUUAAGGUCAUUUCCAAAAUGAUAGCUCCAAUCUUCAUAUGUGCUUAUUAUACAAUGUGCCACCAUUACAAAAUUUAAUUUUUUUUAAAAAAUGGGGGAAAGAGUUCCAUUCCCCCACACAUCAAUUUGCCAGAUGAUUUAAAUAGCACAUCCUAGGUCUCUGAUGCACAGAGAGUCCAGGGAGCUAAUGCAUCAUUUUGGAAUACUUAGAGCCUGAAGAAACACAGAGUCAAAUCAUAGCAGGACCAACUAGGCUUUUUAUCCAAGAUGGAUAAAUGAAAUUCCAUGCAGUUGCUUGUGCACAAAGUCUUUUCAGUUAGAUUUUUGAAAUGCAACCAACAGUUUUUUGUUUGUUUGGUUGGUUGGUUUUGUUUUUUUGAGACGGAGUCUCACUCUGUUGCCCAGACUGGAGUGCAGUGGCGCAAUCUCGGCUCACUGCAACCUCCACCUCCCGGGUUGAAGCAAUUCUCCCACCUCAGCCUCCCGAGUAGCUGGGACUACAGGUGUGCGCCACCAUGCCGAGCUAAUUUUUGUAUUUUUAGUAGAGAUGGGGUUUCACCACGUUGGCCAGACUGCUCUUGAUCUCCUGACCUCAAGUGAUCCACCCAUCUCGGCCUCCCAAAGUGCUGGGAUUACAGGUGUGAGCCACCGUGCCCAGCUGAUAUCAUCUAACUUUUUAAAAGACUAAGUUCCUGUCCAGGUAUGGUAGCUCAUGCCUGCGAUCUCAACACUUUGGGAGGCCAAGGUGGGAAGACUGCUUGAGCCCAGGAAUUCAAGACCAGCCUGGGCAACAUAAUAAGAUACUGACUGUACUAAAAAUCAAGAAGAAAAUUAGUCAGAUAUGGUGGUACACGCCUAUGAUCCCAGCUACUCAGGAGGCUGAGGUGGGAGGAUCAUGUGAGCCUGAGAGGUUGAGGCUGGAGUAAGCCAUGAUCAUGCCACUGCACUCCAGUCUGGAGGAGACAGCUCUGUCUCAAAAAAAAAAAAAAAAAAAGAAAGAAAGAAAAAAAGAAAAGAAAAGAUCAUUCCUGACAUUUAUAUGGUUAAUUUUAUUUUUAUGGAACAGGCAAAGCCUGAAAAUGAUAAAACAUAAAAGGAUUUGCACUGAAAAGAAAGUCUCUUUUUCCUGUUUCUCACACAGCAAAACCCCCCCCUGGAAACAACCUUACAACAAAGAUAAGCUAUGCAUUUGUGUGUGUGUGUCUGUGUGUGUGUGUGUGUGUGUUUGUUUUAUACAAAGGAGAGCAUGUUAGACAUACUGUUCUCAUUUUGCUUUAUUUAAUAAUGCAUCUUGGAUUUUGUUCCAUUACCACUGCAGAACUUCUUCAUUCUUUUAACAAGUUGCACAGUAUAUUCCAUGGAGUACCAUAAUAUACUGAUUCAGUCUCCUAUUGAUGACAAUUAAGUUGUUUCCAGUCCUCUGCUAUUAUAAGUAUUGAUGCAAUAACUAUACUUAUGUCAGUCAUUUUGCUCAAAUGAAAAACACAAAUGUAGGAAAAUUCCUUAAGUGGAAUUGCUUAGUCAAAGGAUACAUGCAUUUAAGUUUUUUUUAUAGAUUGGCCUUCACAGAAGUUGUAUCUAACAAUUUAUCAUUCCACCAAAAAGUAUAAAACCAACUGCUUUCUCAAACCCUUUAUAGCCAGUUUUGAUCAAGCUUCUUUAUCUUCAAUAAUAUGAUAUAUCAUGUUUUCCAUUUAAUUUUCAUCAGGAGGGAAGUCUGAUAUCUUUUUCUUAAAUUUUAAAAGCACUUGUGCUUACUUUUCUGUGAUCUGUCCUUAUCCUUUACCCAUCGCUGGUCAUUGCUUUCUUGUUUAUUUGUAGAUGCUCUCUAUUCAAUAGGGAAAAUAGUCUUGGUUUGUGAUACAUGUGAAAUAUCUUCUCCAGAUUUUCAUUUGUCAUUUGACUUUGCUUACAAUGGAUUUUCUUGUUAUGCAUAAACUUUGUUUUUUAGUAUUUAAAGUUAGUUAUCUUAUGGCUUCUGUGCUUUAUAUUAUACUUGAAAAGACUUUCUAAUGUAGAAAUUAUCUUAAAUAACCUUAGAUAUUCUUCCAAUACUUUUUUGAUUUUAUUUUUCACAUUUAAAUCAUUGUUGCCCCCAAGGAUUUAUUUUUGGAUAAGGCUUAAGAUAUAAAUUCAACUCCAUUUCUUUGCCUAAUGGUAAGAUUUAUUGAAUGCUCCAGUGUUUAUUGUGAUAUGCAAUGCCAACAUUAUCUUAUGUGAAAUAUAUAUAUAUAAGAUAUGUAUAUAUAUCUUAUACUCCUUCCACAUUUAUUUUUGGAUGUCCCAUUUUUUUCCAUUUAACUAUCUAUACCAGCACCACAGUCUUUAAGUUAUUGUAGCUUAAUACAUUUUACAAAAAUUGGUCUAGUCCCACCGCAAUGUUCUUCUUUCUCAGAAUCUGUCAUUAUGAAUUCUUUUAUUUUUGUAAAUUUUUUAGUUGAAUCACUUGGUUUUUCCAAAUAUACAAUCAUAUUACUUAGAAGGUAUAGUUAAUAUGCCUCCUUUCUAGUUUUUUUUAUUUCUAAUUUCUUUUUCUUGUAAGACUCCUUUGUCUAGUGCUACUAUAACAAUACUAAAUGAUAGUAGGAAUAAGGGUGAUCAUUGGCUUAAUAAGUUUAUGGAAAUGCUUCUGGAAUUCCCUAUAAAGCAAGCUGUUGACUUUUUCGUUUUUAGGUUAGCAAGAGGGCACUUACCAAGCUAAGGAUUGUGGAUCCUUAGAUCACUUGACUAGAAGAUGGGGAUGGGGUCAUAUGGUACAAACCAGGGCUGUUACUCCUCAACAAGGAGGAAUAACGCCUCUUAGAAGCAUGGCAAGCAGGUGCCAUAAAACAUGUCUACUACAAUUUCUCACUGCCUGGAAUAAUUGGAAAAGUUUCAUAAAUGCUCUGGCUUUCAGGUUCUUCACUUUUGCAAUAAAGCUGCUAAGUCUGGUUGCAAA
Homo sapiens (human) is the source of this 4462-nucleotide long non-coding RNA. RefSeq lists it as uncharacterized. The record is from RefSeq and is a predicted model, not a curated record. The transcript has 4 exons. Lineage: Eukaryota; Metazoa; Chordata; Mammalia; Primates; Hominidae.